AGUCCAGUAGCUCAGUGGUUAGAGCAUCUGGUUUACACCCAGAGGGUCGGGGGUUCAAAUCCCUCCUGGAUUA
Molecule: transfer RNA, 73 nt
Rfam family: tRNA
About the family: Transfer RNA (tRNA) molecules are approximately 80 nucleotides in length. Their secondary structure includes four short double-helical elements and three loops (D, anti-codon, and T loops). Further hydrogen bonds mediate the characteristic L-shaped molecular structure. tRNAs have two regions of fundamental functional importance: the anti-codon, which is responsible for specific mRNA codon recognition, and the 3' end, to which the tRNAs corresponding amino acid is attached (by aminoacyl-tRNA synthetases). tRNAs cope with the degeneracy of the genetic code in two manners: having more than one tRNA (with a specific anti-codon) for a particular amino acid; and 'wobble' base-pairing, i.e. permitting non-standard base-pairing at the 3rd anti-codon position.